Molecule: ribosomal RNA, 564 nt
Filed under: Rhizopus arrhizus
Lineage: Eukaryota; Fungi; Mucoromycota; Mucoromycetes; Mucorales; Rhizopodaceae
Description: eukaryotic LSU rRNA
Rfam family: 5.8S ribosomal RNA (bases 177-330)
Source: RNAcentral
CCUCUUAGGGUUUCCUCUGGGGUAAGUGAUUGCUUCUACACUGUGAAAAUUUGGCUGAGAGACUCAGACUGGUCAUGGGUAGACCUAUCUGGGGUUUGAUCGAUGCCACUCCUGGUUUCAGGAGCACCCUUCAUAAUAAACCUAGAAAUUCAGUAUUAUAAAGUUUAAUAAAAAACAACUUUUAACAAUGGAUCUCUUGGUUCUCGCAUCGAUGAAGAACGUAGCAAAGUGCGAUAACUAGUGUGAAUUGCAUAUUCAGUGAAUCAUCGAGUCUUUGAACGCAGCUUGCACUCUAUGGUUUUUCUAUAGAGUACGCCUGCUUCAGUAUCAUCACAAACCCACACAUAACAUUUGUUUAUGUGGUAAUGGGUCGCAUCGCUGUUUUAUUACAGUGAGCACCUAAAAUGUGUGUGAUUUUCUGUCUGGCUUGCUAGGCAGGAAUAUUACGCUGGUCUCAGGAUCUUUUUCUUUGGUUCGCCCAGGAAGUAAAGUACAAGAGUAUAAUCCAGCAACUUUCAAACUAUGAUCUGAAGUCAGGUGGGAUUACCCGCUGAACUUAAGCAU